Molecule: ribosomal RNA, 440 nt
Filed under: uncultured bacterium
Lineage: Bacteria
Description: partial 16S ribosomal RNA
Rfam family: Bacterial small subunit ribosomal RNA
Source: RNAcentral
CCUACGGGAGGCAGCAGUGGGGAAUAUUGCACAAUGGGGGAAACCCUGAUGCAGCGACGCCGCGUGAGCGAUGAAGUAUUUCGGUAUGUAAAGCUCUAUCAGCAGGGACGAAAAUGACUGUACCUAACUAAGAGUCCCCGGCUAACUACGUACCAGCAACCGAGGGAAUACGUAGGGGGCAAGCGUGAUCCGGAUUUACGGGGUGUAACGGGAGCGUAGACGGCUGUGCAAGCCAGAUGUGAAAGCCCUGGGCUCAACCCCGGGACGGCAUUUGGAACUGUGGGGCUGGAGUGUCGGAGAGGCAGGCGGAAUUCCUAGUGUAGCGGUGAAAUGCGUAGAUAUUAGGAGGAACACCAGUGGCGAAGGCGGCCCGCUGGACGAUGACUGACGUUGAGGCUCGAAAGCGUGGGGAGCAAACAGGAUUAGAUACCCCAGUAGUC